RNAcentral lists this ribosomal RNA (508 nucleotides) under uncultured bacterium. RNAcentral's name for it is "partial 16S ribosomal RNA". It matches the Rfam family "Bacterial small subunit ribosomal RNA", at positions 28 to 507 of the family's 1533-position model. The record is from RNAcentral.
GACGAACGCUGGCGGCGUGCCUAAUACAUGCAAGUCGAACGCUUCUUUCCUCCCGAGUGCUUGCACUCAAUUGGAAAGAGGAGUGGCGGACGGGUGAGUAACACGUGGGUAACCUACCCAUCAGAGGGGGAUAACACUUGGAAACAGGUGCUAAUACCGCAUAACAGUUUAUGCCGCAUGGCAUAAGAGUGCAAGGCGCUUUCGGGUGUCGCUGAUGGAUGGACCCGCGGUGCAUUAGCUAGUUGGUGAGGUAACGGCUCACCAAGGCCACGAUGCAUAGCCGACCUGAGAGGGUGAUCGGCCACACUGGGACUGAGACACGGCCCAGACUCCUACGGGAGGCAGCAGUAGGGAAUCUUCGGCAAAGGACGAAAGUCUGACCGAGCAACGCCGCGUGAGUGAAGAAGGUUUUCGGAUCGUAAAACUCUGUUGUUAGAGAAGAACAAGGACGUUAGUAACUGAACGUCCCCUGACGGUAUCUAACCAGAAAGACACGGCUAACUACGUG